This 303-nucleotide ribosomal RNA is filed under the name uncultured bacterium. RNAcentral's name for it is "partial 16S ribosomal RNA". It matches the Rfam family "Bacterial small subunit ribosomal RNA", at positions 507 to 809 of the family's 1533-position model. The record is from RNAcentral.
AGCAGUAGCCGCGGUAAUACGGAGGGUGCAAGCGUUAAUCGGAAUUACUGGGCGUAAAGCGCACGCAGGCGGUCUGACAAGUCAGAUGUGAAAUCCCCGGGCUUAACCUGGGAACUGCAUUUGAAACUGUCAGGCUGGAGUCUUGUAGAGGGGGGUAGAAUUCCAGGUGUAGCGGUGAAAUGCGUAGAGAUCUGGAGGAAUACCGGUGGCGAAGGCGGCCCCCUGGACAAAGACUGACGCUCAGGUGCGAAAGCGUGGGGAGCAAACAGGAUUAGAUACCCGCGUAGUCCCUGUCUCUUAUAA